Guyanagaster necrorhizus is the source of this 91-nucleotide non-coding RNA. NCBI's taxonomy places the organism in Eukaryota, Fungi, Basidiomycota, Agaricomycetes, Agaricales, Physalacriaceae. The record is from the annotation of a RefSeq genome assembly.
UCGGAUAUGGUGUAACGACUAACAUUACCGCCUUUCAUGAGAGGCCGACCGACUUUACGCGGUCGCCCGGGGUUCAAUUCCCAUAUCCGAA